UAAAAAAAGCUAUAACUUAUACGAAAAGCCCUGUCCCUCCACUUUCUAUUUUACAUAACAAGGAAAAUAUUCACGCAAGUUGUUCUGUAUUGUUUCGAACAUAUAUAUAAGUUAGGCAGAGAGAACUAAAUAUUCAAGAUAUAUUGGUUCAUUGAAGAUGACCCGAAAUACGACAAUCGUUAUCUUGGUCCUGACCAUAUGUACUUCCCUUGUCCAUGUGUACGCGCAAUAUGCUUCAGCACCAUCCGCAUUAACCUCCAAUUAUGGUGGCUCGAGUUGGGCCUGGCCUAACUGGCCACUACGCCACAAAUGCUGGAAAAAGAACGAAGAAUACAAGACCUGUGUAAGCGGAAGUUGCAGCGAAUGGACUUGUCAAUAUCUCUACAAAGGCUGGCCUACUCUAUGCACCUACGACUGCCAGAGUGGAUGUUUCUGUAAGGAAGGAUACUUCCGGAAUCGCCGUGGCAAGUGUGUACUUGGAUACCGGUGUUUCAAAGAAAUAUUGCCUGUUGUGGGAUCGUUUAAUGAGUAAUAGUAAUCAAGUAUUCAUGACGGUAGUUUCUUUUAGAGGCCUUUUAAUUUUACUUAUAAAGAAUUUGCAGCUUCUUGAAUGGUUCGACA
Long non-coding RNA from Rhipicephalus microplus (southern cattle tick), 621 nucleotides. The record is from RefSeq and is a predicted model, not a curated record. NCBI's taxonomy places the organism in Eukaryota, Metazoa, Arthropoda, Arachnida, Ixodida, Ixodidae.